UCCUGACCUCGUGAUCGGCCCACCUCGGCCUCCCCAAGUGCUGGGAUUACAGGCGUGAGCCACUGCGCCCAGUCCACUUUCAAAGUUUUGCCUUUCACAACUAGAUCUUUAAUCAACUGGCUUUUAUUUUUGAUAUGAUGUGAACUAGGGAUCUAGCCAUAUUUGCUUUGCAUAUGGAUAAUCAAUUGUGCAAACACCAUUUGUAGAAUAUUUCAUCCUUUCCCAAAUAAUCUACAAGGCAACUUCUGUCUCAAAUUUCCAAGUGUCAUGGGUCUUUUGCUGGGUUCCUCUUCUCUUCCAGUGGCUGAUUUGUGCAUCCCCUGAACACUUCACUGUCCUAAUUCCUUUACCAUAAUAGCAUGCACACAAAUCUUCAACCUUCCAUUAUCCACUGACCUCUAUGCCAUUCUUAUUCUUUGAAAAUAUCUUCAUUUAAGUUCUACUAGAAGCAGAGCCUGAGUCAAGGAUUCAGGUACAAGCAUUUGUUAAGAAGGUGCUUUCAAGAAGCACAGGUAAGAGGGUGGGAAGUGAGAUAGGGAAGGGAAGAAAGCCAACAGAUGGUGCAUUUAUGAGCAGGUUGCCACAAAGGGUAACUGGGGCUCAAACUCACUAGGCCCUUCAAAGAUACUGCAGCUGAGGGGCGGGGGAGCUGCAGUAUUUAUCCACCGUCAUUCCUCAUGGCUGUUUUAAAAUGGACACAAGAUUUACGUUAAUCAGAUAUACUAAGACACACAGAUAUGGAAAUGACUGUCCUGAAGGAAGGAGUUUUUGAUACUCGGAGGUGGAGCAGCCUCUCCAGGAACAGCAAGGCCCCAGCUGUCAACACAUCAGGAAAUACAGGAAAUGAAAAGACAUGAUGAAUACACUGAGGGUGCUCUUGAAGGCAUGAGCCCCUGGCAUGUAUGUGGCUGGUAAUGCCAAGGGCCAUGGGGACAGCACGAACAGUGUCUGCUGCACUAUAUUUUUUGUUUGUUUGUUUGUUUUUUUUUUGAGAUGAAGUCUUGCUCUGUCACACAGGCUGUAGCGCAUUGACAGGAUCUCGGUUCACAGCAUCCUCCGCCACCCGGGUUAAAGCAAUUCUCCUGCCUCAGCUUCCCAAGUAGCUCAGACUACAGAUGUGCACCACCAUGCCCGGCCAAUUUUUUUGUAUUAUAGUAGAGAAGAGGUUUCACCAUGUUGGCCAGGAUGGUCUCGAUCUCUUCACCUUGUGAUCUGCCUGCCUCAGCCUCCCAAAGUGCUGGGAUUACAGGUGUGAUUUAAUAUAUUAUUAAAUGCAAUAGGAUGGACAAUUGAAGGAGAUAACAGAGCCCCAAAAAGAGACCCAUAUCUAUGUAUUUGGGAAUUUGAUAUACUGGUAUUAUGUAUUAAUGAGAAAAGGAUUAAUUAGUCAAUAAGUAAUGCUGAAUGAAUAGCCAUUCUAAUGGGAAAUAAAAUUAGAUCACUACCAUAUACUAUUUUAAAAUCCCUGCUGGAUUUUAAAAA
Molecule: long non-coding RNA, 1482 nt
Organism: Sapajus apella (tufted capuchin)
Lineage: Eukaryota; Metazoa; Chordata; Mammalia; Primates; Cebidae
Exons: 2
Source: RefSeq, a predicted model, not a curated record